Long non-coding RNA from Mus musculus (house mouse), 2433 nucleotides. RefSeq annotates it as predicted gene, 45986. The record is from RefSeq and is a predicted model, not a curated record. The transcript is spliced from 2 exons. Lineage: Eukaryota; Metazoa; Chordata; Mammalia; Rodentia; Muridae.
GCGCACACACACACACACACACACACACACACACACACACGCAUGUUUUACAGGUGCUCAUGGAAGCCAGAGGUAUGGAGCUAUCUGAAAUGGGAGUUGUGAGCCUCCUGGUAUGGGUGUUGGGAAUUGAACUCAGGCCCUCUGAAAACACAGAUUAAUGGCCUGUCUUAAUCUCUCCUGCCCCACUUACAGUAGUUGUUAUAAACCAGUAGAUUGCUAUGGUUGUGAACUGUGGGUUUCUACCAGCAGAAUAGUAGCUCAGUUUUGUCUCUCCGGGCUUCUGGGUGAUACAGAAAGCAAUUCUACAAAUGUUUCUAGGAGAGGUGGGCAUUUGUGUCCUGUGCAGUUUUACACUUCCAAUUCGGAAGCUCGGGGUGGGAGCUAGAUUCCAGAGAAGUGUGCUUUCUGAAGAACGGCAUUUCUUCCUCUCCGAGGGGUCAUGUUCCCGCUCAGCCAGUGCAGUCCUUUCUCUCCUGGGUCCAUCAUAAUAAUAAACAUGACCUCCAAAAGCACACUGCCGCUUUCAGCUUCAGGCUCAAGCCUGGCUUUGGCGAUGACUCAGCAAAGUGAACUACUGCAUUGAGCAUAGGGUGAGGCAAGCCUCAUACGGUAUCUGGGGAAAUGUUAAAUGACGCACUGAAAAUGUAGUUCUAAUCAGAAGAAAAUAGUUUUUUAAUCAAGGUGGUUCCCACCCACCUCUUAGGCCACUCAGUGCCUUUAGUUUGUCUUUAAAAUCAGCUUGGAAAGAUAAAGGUAAUUAAUAAAUACAAAAGGGCAAAGAACAGCCAGGAGAAGAGUCUCAGAAAUGAGUUAGUAGUUAAAGGGUCAAGAGGAUAUUGGCCGGGAAGUAAGCUGUUGCUGCUUCUAGAAAGAUAGGUGUGGGUGUGUGGGUGUGUGGGUGUGGAUGCGUGUGCAUGUGCAUUCAGAUUUAUAUGUUGGGGUGCACAUGUGGGGGUCAAAGGACAGCUUUUAGGAAUCUCUCCUCCCUUGUUUACCAUGCUUCAGACUAGCUGGCCUCCAAGCUCCCAGGACAUUCUCUCGUUCUGUCUCCUAUCUUGCCUUAGUAAUACACUGUAUACCACCACUUAAUCUGGUGUUUUUUUCUGUAGGUUCUAGAUGUCAGACUCAGAUUACCUGGUGUUUUAAGGCCUGGUGAGGUGGUAUGUACCUGUAUUCCCAGAGCUUGAAGGACCGAGGAGUCCAAGGCUACAUAGAACUGCUGGAGAAAGAAAAAGCAUUGGGACACAGACAGCUAUAAUAAUCCAAGCAUUGUGCUAAGGCAAGACAAAAAUGUAUGUUACUAGCCAACUAUGCAUUGUGAGUAAUAAAGCAGUUAUUAAAGUUGCUUUUAAUUAGAGUAAGGGGAAAGAAAGAAAUAUGAGAGAGACCUGGGGAGACUCUCGGUUUGUCGUUUUUCCUGUCUACUCUCUGCAUAGCUAAAAUGUCCAUUUUGAGAGAUCAAGAAAUCAACUUUCUCACUCUAUCUUUCCCUAAGUGUUAAAAUUUGGUUUGCUUCACUUUUUUUUUUUUUUUUUUUUUGUUUAUUGUGUUUGGAGACAUGGUCUUGCUAUUAGCCCUGGCUGGUCUGGAACCUGCUGUGAAAACCAAGCUGGCCUCAAACUUGCCGUGGUCUUCUUGCCUCUGCUUUCCAAGUGCUGUGACUGCAGGCAUGCACACCUCACCUGCCUCUUUAGCUCUAACCGUAAGAAGCAGUAACACGAAUCUGAGUCAGUGUAUAGUUCAAGCUGGCAGGUGAGUUAACUGAGCGUCGAAGUACAAAACACCAGUGAUGACGGUGACAGUUCCUUCAUGAAAAGAUGAGUUCCGGGGCUGGAGAGAUGGCUCAGUGGUGACCUGCUUUUGCAGAGGACCUGGGUUCAGUUCACUCUGGGAUAUGAAAACAUCCUUCAGUGAGGCUCUGGGGCAACCCUCUCCCUUUUCCCCAUUACCCCGGGGUUCCAUUUUUUUGUUUUCCUGUUUCAAUCCUAACUGGAAUUACCUUUUUAUUCAGCUAUUUUUGGAUGACUAUAUUUUACAUUCUGAGUUCAUACCACUGACCUCCCUGGACUGAACCUAGGGCAGUGUGGAAGAGGAAGUCUCCAACCUUGUUGGUUUUUGUAACUUGGGCUGUCUUUAGACUCACAGCUCUCUCUCAAUAUUUAAAAGUGUGUGUGUGUGCGUGUGCGUGUGUGUGCAUGUGCACGUGCGCGUGUGCGUGUGCAUGUGUGUGUGUGUCGUAGUGAGCAAGCCGAGCACACUUCCUGGAGGCCUGAGGACAGUUCUGCAGAGUUGGUUCUCUCCUCCCACCUUUACACAGGGUUGAAGAGUGAGCACAGGUUCAUGGUGGCAAGCAUCUCUACCCACUAAGUCAUUUCGGGAGGUCCCUUUCUAACAGUUUUUGAUUAUACACUUGCCAUUUUUUUAAAAAAAAAA